AGCUAAAUGGCUUAAUAUUUAGUGAUUUCUGCUCAAUGGUUUACUAAAUAGCCGCAGUACCCUGACUGUGCAAAGGUAGCAUAAUCAUUUGGCUUAUAAUUGAAGUCUAGUAUGAAUGAAUUUAUGGGAAACAUCUGUCUACUGUAUUUAUAUAAAACUUAAUUAAUAAGUGAAAAUUCUUAUAGACAAAUAAAAGACGAGAAGACCCUAGAAAUUUUGUUUAGUAUAAUAUUAUAUAUUACAUCAUUUUGUUGGGGCGACAGAAUAACAAGUAACUUGUUUUAUUUGAUGUGCAUUAUGUAUUAUGAAAAAUUAAAUUACUCUAGGGAUAACAGCAUAAUUUGUAAAAGUUUGUGACCUCGAUGUUGGACUAGGGACUUAAAUACUCAAAAGGUAUUUAAAUUUGCUCUGUUCGAGCAUUAAUUCCUACAUGAUCUGA
Molecule: ribosomal RNA, 439 nt
Filed under: Helicopsis striata
Lineage: Eukaryota; Metazoa; Mollusca; Gastropoda; Stylommatophora; Geomitridae
Description: partial 16S ribosomal RNA
Rfam family: Archaeal large subunit ribosomal RNA
Source: RNAcentral